Molecule: ribosomal RNA, 525 nt
Filed under: uncultured bacterium
Lineage: Bacteria
Description: bacterial SSU rRNA
Rfam family: Bacterial small subunit ribosomal RNA
Source: RNAcentral
ACAUCCAGCGAACUUGGCAGAGAUGCCUUGGUGCCUUCGGGAACGCUGAGACAGGUGCUGCAUGGCUGUCGUCAGCUCGUGUUGUGAAAUGUUGGGUUAAGUCCCGCAACGAGCGCAACCCUUAUCCUUUGUUGCCAGCGAUUCGGUCGGGAACUCAAAGGAGACUGCCGGUGAUAAACCGGAGGAAGGUGGGGAUGACGUCAAGUCAUCAUGGCCCUUACGAGUAGGGCUACACACGUGCUACAAUGGCGCAUACAAAGAGAAGCGACCUCGCGAGAGCAAGCGGACCUCAUAAAGUGCGUCGUAGUCCGGAUCGGAGUCUGCAACUCGACUCCGUGAAGUCGGAAUCGCUAGUAAUCGUGGAUCAGAAUGCCACGGCGAAUACGUUCCCGGGCCUUGUACACACCGCCCGUCACACCAUGGGAGUGGGUUGCAAAAGAAGUAGGUAGCUUAACCUUCGGGAGGGCGCUUACCACUUUGUGAUUCAUGACUGGGGUGAAGUCGUAACAAGGUAAGCGUAGCGAG